UUUUCUUUAUUUUCAAAUUUUCUUUUAAGUGGAAUAUUAAUUAAGAGCUUAUUUUUUUGUGCCAUUAGGUAUAGCAUGUCGAUGGAAGUUACUCAGGCACUUUUGAAUGCUCAAUCAAUUGAUGGAACUGUACGUAAGCUCGCUGAAGAAAGUCUGCGGCAAUUUCAGGAGCAAAACCUUCCUGGUUUCUUGGUCUCUCUUUCUGGAGAGUUAGCAAAUGAAGAGAAACCAGUUGAUAGUCGCAAGUUGGCAGGUUUGAUACUUAAAAGUGCAUUGGACGCCAAGGAUGAAAACAGAAAACGAGAAUUGGUCCAGAGAUGGUUGUCAUUGGAGACCGCAGCAAAGGCCUAGGUUAAGCCAUGCUUGCUACAAACACUCUCUUCUCUUGUAUUUGACGCUCGGUCAACGGCAACUCAAGUUGUUACUAAAAUUGCUGGUAUUGAGCUUCCACAUAAACAGUGGCCUGAGCUGAUAAGAUCACUUUUAUCAAAUAUUCAUCAAGUUCCUGCUCAUAUCAAGCAAGCAACUUUGGAGACUCUGGGGUACUUGUGUGAGGAAGUAUCUCACAAGAUUGUUGAAUAAGACCAAGGACGAGGAGAAUAAAAUGCAGCUUUCGAUCUUGCUCACAAGGUAUUCGAUAAAAUGCCUCACUGGAAUUUUUUCCUCUUUUUGCUUUUAUUUUAGUUUUGAUUUGUUGUUGUUGUGUUUCGUAGUUGCUAUUGAUGUUGGUUUGCAUAUUAGCAUAGAAUUAUUGUUCAUUGGAAUACAAUUUGUAGGAGUAAUUAUCGUGCUAUUGAGCCCUUUUCCAAUUGAUAGAACAGGUUAGUGGAAAUUCUAAUUAAUUUUCCAAUCAUUAUAGUCUAAAUGGACAUUAAUAAAUUUGUUGCUUUGAUUUCAUUUCAAAUUUUCAAGUUAGUGCCUUCAUACACCAAGGAAACGAUAAACAUUGAAGAUUAUUCCCACCGCAUAGAAAAGUUGCAUGCCGUACUAUACUUUAUAAACAACUUAUAUGUUAAGAUUAGAAGUCUUUGAAAAGGGAUGCUAAGUUGCCUGAGAACAAUGAGAAAUGCUCCUGAGCUGACCUUUCAUGGGAGAGGGGGUGAAUAUAUUUUUAGGGGAUUUCAACAAGUAGAACUCUAGCCUUAGCAAAGUAUUUUGAGAGAAUGGAAGAGAGAAGGUAUGUUGUUUCUAUACUUUUGAGUUAUAUGCAACCUGAAAACAGCUGCAAUAGCUUGAUAACAAUUAGAAUUGAAUUGUCACAUGUUCUCAAACUACUUCAUGCUGUAAAUGGUUGUAUGAGAGGAAGCGGUGUGAAGUUUUUCUCAGAACUGCUUCAUUGGCAGUGGCGAGUAUCAGAGUAAGUUUGUGCUCUGAUCACUCGAAGCCUCUGUCAGGAGUACAGGGGAGCUAAGUCAUUGCCUAAUAGACUACCGUCUUCUUUCUUAAUUGACAGUGUGAUGUUUCUUUCAUAAAUUGCCCUCACUUUGUAAAAGGGCCUAUUUUGAAUCCAAUAAUGAUGUUAGGGGCCAUCAUUUGAAGUAAAUUCAUAAAUUUAUUACUAUUUAAUGAUAUUUUGGGGUUAUGUUCAUCCUCCCUUAUGGUUCUCUUUUGUGAUGCUACUGGAAUACAUAUAAAUUGACUUAUCCAAUCUUGGAUCAGUUAUUGUGGAUACACUUCUUUGUGUGCUGCACGAAUUCUAGUAGUAAUUAAUUAAUACUAGAAUAGUGGCUGCCACGUGCCACGUAAUAAGACCAGCUUAUAUCUUCAUGUUGAAUUAUAAUCCAAUGAACAUUUUGUUCCAACCUUGUCCCUAUGUUUCGAAGGACGUUGAUGUCCUCAAACAACCUUUUUCUGUGAGUGUGCAUUGCAGCAAAUUAAUUCUUGUAUCGUUCAGACUCCUAUUUCAUUAGGGGGUGAAGAUUUCAGUUCAAGGUUAAAUUGCUCACUAAAGUUUGAUCUAAAUAUAGUUAAAUCCUCGGUUUUUGGGGCACUAAGGAUGACUCGUCAGAGUUUCAAAAAUCAACAUGAUAUGAGUAGUAGCAGCGGGGCUAAAGAGUCUUAGGAAGCAGUAAACGAGAUAUGCUGGAUCUCAAAUCAAAAAAAGAAGAGGAAGCCUUGGCUAUUGUGGUUACUUCUAGUCCUUGUUUGUCAAGUGUGAACUAUAGGGACUAUGAUUCCCAGGUUUCUAAGCAGGAGAUUUAUGCUGAGCUGGUUCAUAAAAAGGCUAGAGUUGAAGAACAGCUAAAAGAAAUUACUGACUUUGAAUGACAUGGAGUGCCACAAGGGUGCACAAUCGAUGUCCGACUUGUAGACAAGAUCUUGGAGAUAUCAGUUCUCUGAAUCACUCCAGUUACCAUGCAAGUACUACUCUCUUUGAUGUCCUGAAAUCUUUCCAUACUACAGCAAGCUUAAGCAUGAGACGGUGUGCAAUUUUAGACCCUACACUUGUCCUUAUGUCGGAUCAGAAUGCCCCGCUGCAGGUGAUAUUAACUUCCUCGUUGCACAUUUGAGGGAUGAUCAUAAGGUCGACAUGCACACAGGAUGCACAUUCAACCAUCGUGAUGUGAAGUCAAAAUCACAUUUGAGCAUUAGGAUGUGCUGCUAUUGCUAAGCAUUUUUUUUAUGCCAGAAAGUAUAAUGUUAUUAAUGUUUGCUUUGAAAAGUCACCAUUUAAGUUAAAGGUCACCAUUAAUUAGAAAUUAUUAUUAUUGGUUUUAUCAUAAUUGGUGGUUUAUGGUUCAUACGUGAUAUUUUCUCGCAACUUGCAUUCCAUUCAUUUAUUUUUCUCUCUUGUAAUUAUUAAUUUGGUUAAUUUAUGCUUAUUAUUAACUUUUAAAUUAGAUUAAGUUAUUUAUUUAGAUCUUAAUUAGGAUAAAUUGGUCUUAAUUUAUCAAUUAAAAUUA
Vicia villosa (hairy vetch) is the source of this 2903-nucleotide long non-coding RNA. RefSeq lists it as uncharacterized. Lineage: Eukaryota; Viridiplantae; Streptophyta; Magnoliopsida; Fabales; Fabaceae. The transcript has 5 exons. The record is from RefSeq and is a predicted model, not a curated record.